This 502-nucleotide long non-coding RNA is filed under the name Sorghum bicolor (sorghum). RNAcentral's name for it is "long non-coding RNA (SBIC_LNC004260)". Lineage: Eukaryota; Viridiplantae; Streptophyta; Magnoliopsida; Poales; Poaceae. The record is from RNAcentral.
GGGGAAGGCUCAAGAACCCCUCACAAAUCACUUGGUGAGGCUCGAAACAUUCUCCAAUCAUGAGCUCAACACGACCAAUGCUCCAAGCCGUCUAGGGCGUCGGGAAACACCCAAGAGUAACAUGAAAUCCACAGCAAACUCAAGAAUCAAGUGCCACUAAAUGCAACUCUCAAAGCAAUGCACUUGAAUCUCACUAGGAUUAGCAAUCAAGCAAGGAUAUGAGUGGAAGGAGUAUUCUCUAGCUCAAUGUAUUUCUCAAAUAAUCAAAUGUGCAAGAGAGAACCUCCCAAAGCCGGCCACCUUCUAUUUAUAAGCCCCCUCAAUAAAAGAGCCGUUGGCCACUUUCACCCUGCGUCCGGUGCUCUAGGGUUGGCCACGUGUCCUCCUUUGAAUCUCGCGCAUCAAUCUGUAACGGUCACCUGCGGACCACCGGACGUGACCAAGUGAGCACUGGACGCGUCCGGUACUCACCGGACUCAUGCGUAGAGAGUUUGUAAAACUA